RNAcentral lists this ribosomal RNA (253 nucleotides) under uncultured bacterium. Its description in RNAcentral is "partial 16S ribosomal RNA". It matches the Rfam family "Bacterial small subunit ribosomal RNA", at positions 524 to 776 of the family's 1533-position model. The record is from RNAcentral.
UACAGAGGUCCCGAGCGUUGUUCGGAUUUAUUGGGCGUAAAGGGUGCGUAGGCGGCGGAGUAAGUUGGGUGUGAAAUCCCGGGGCUUAACCUCGGAAUUGCAUUCAAUACUGCUUCGCUCGAGUACUGGAGAGGAGGCUGGAAUUUACGGUGUAGCAGUGAAAUGCGUAGAUGUCGUAAGGAAGGCCGGUGGCGAAAGCGAGCCUCUGGACAGUUACUGACGCUGAUGCACGAAGGCCAGGGGAGCAAACGGG